AUACGUAGGGGGCGAGCGUUGUCCGGAAUGAUUGGGCGUAAAGGGCGCGUAGGCGGCGCGGUAAGUCUGGAGUGAAAGCCCUGCUUUCAAGGUGGGAAUUGCUUUGGAUACUGCCGCGCUUGAGUGCAGGAGAGGUUAUCGGAAUUCCCGGUGUAGCGGUGAAAUGCGUAGAGAUCGGGAGGAACACCAGUGGCGAAGGCGGGUAACUGGACUGCAACUGACGCUGAGGCGCGAAAGUGUGGGGAGCAAACAGGAUUAGAUACCCUGGUAGUCCACACUGUAAACGAUGAAUGCUAGGUGUAAGAGGUAUCGACCCCUUUUGUGCCGGAGUUAACACAAUAAGCAUUCCGCCUGGGGAGUACGGCCGCAAGGUUGAAACUCAAAGGAAUUGACGGGG
This 397-nucleotide ribosomal RNA is filed under the name uncultured bacterium. Its description in RNAcentral is "partial 16S ribosomal RNA". It matches the Rfam family "Bacterial small subunit ribosomal RNA", at positions 523 to 918 of the family's 1533-position model. The record is from RNAcentral.